UUUGGGAAAUGAUGCUAAAAUACAGAGAUUUCAAAGGCACUUGCAAUGCUGAUAAUAUUGUAUUUGCACGUCAGUCUGAUCCUAAA
Molecule: small nucleolar RNA, 86 nt
Organism: Mangifera indica (mango)
Lineage: Eukaryota; Viridiplantae; Streptophyta; Magnoliopsida; Sapindales; Anacardiaceae
Product: small nucleolar RNA Z122
Exons: 1
Source: RefSeq, a predicted model, not a curated record